RNAcentral lists this long non-coding RNA (645 nucleotides) under Citrus x clementina. RNAcentral describes it as "Citrus clementina (C. clementina) long non-coding RNA (CCLE_LNC004881)". Lineage: Eukaryota; Viridiplantae; Streptophyta; Magnoliopsida; Sapindales; Rutaceae. The record is from RNAcentral.
CCCACCCGUUUUUGUGGCCUUUUUCCGCUGGACGAACUUGGUGCCCUGGCCUUCGGGCGGUUAUUUUUGGGCACGGCUUUGCCCGCGGCCUAUUUUUGGCACACGGAGGCCCCUCGCAAAGUCUCGGGGCAUUCCGAGUCCGGCGGACGAAGUUGGCCAGCCCCACCCCCUAAGGCUAUAGCCCACACGUUUUUGGGGCCUUUUUCCGCUGGACGAACUUGGCGCCCCGGCCUUCGGGCGGUUAUUUUUGGGCGCGGCUUUGCCCGCGGCCUAUUUUUGGCACCCGGAGGCCCCUCGCAAAUUCUCGCGGCAUUCCGAGUCCGGCGGACGAAGUAGGCCAGCCCCACCCCCCAAGGUUAUAUAGCCCACCCGUUUUUGGGACCUUUUUCUGCUGGACGAACUUGGCGCCCUGGCCUUCUUGCGGUUAUUUUUUGGGUGCGGCUUUCCCCGCGGCCUAUUUUUGGCACACGGAGGCCCCUCGCAAAGUCUCGCGGCAUUCCGAGUCCGGCGGACGAAGUGGGCCAGCCCCACCCCCCAAGGCUAUAGCCCACCCGUUUUUGUGGCCUUUUUCCGCUGGACGAACUUGGCGCCCCGGCCUUCGGGCGGUUAUUUUUGGGCGCGCCUUUGCCCGCGGCCUAUUUUUNN